RNAcentral lists this long non-coding RNA (204 nucleotides) under Vigna radiata. RNAcentral's name for it is "long non-coding RNA (VRAD_LNC006003)". Lineage: Eukaryota; Viridiplantae; Streptophyta; Magnoliopsida; Fabales; Fabaceae. The record is from RNAcentral.
UGCAGGGGGGCACGACUUCUUCUUUGGAAGUCGUUCUGGCCCCCCACGACUUCCCAUUGACUUUUUUUUACCCAUUCUGGUAAUUUAUGAGGCAAAUUUGCCUAUCAGGGUCAAAAAACCCAGAAAAUAAAAACUUUACACCCAACAACAAUCCUAAAAAUACUCAUCCAUCAAAGAACAAAUAACAAAAACGCUGACAAAAAG